ACUCAUAUCUUGCAGGGGAAAUAUACCACGGUCAUGAAAGUGGUUUUUCCAGAGCAAGGCCCAUCUACUGCACUUUGGGUGUGCUGAGCCCUAUGAUUUCCCCAAAUGUGGGGAACUCAACUGCGUAAUUUGUGUUAAUGGGGGAUUAAUUUCCCUG
Molecule: small nuclear RNA, 157 nt
Filed under: Pogona vitticeps (central bearded dragon)
Lineage: Eukaryota; Metazoa; Chordata; Lepidosauria; Squamata; Agamidae
Description: U1 spliceosomal RNA (ENSPVIG00000018496.1)
Rfam family: U1 spliceosomal RNA
About the family: U1 is a small nuclear RNA (snRNA) component of the spliceosome (involved in pre-mRNA splicing). Its 5' end forms complementary base pairs with the 5' splice junction, thus defining the 5' donor site of an intron. There are significant differences in sequence and secondary structure between metazoan and yeast U1 snRNAs, the latter being much longer (568 nucleotides as compared to 164 nucleotides in human).
Source: Rfam by way of RNAcentral